GUACACUCCUGCGGGAGGCAGCAGUGGGGAAUUUUGGACAAUGGGCGAAAGCCUGAUCCAGCAAUGCCGCGUGAGUGAAGAAGGCCUUCGGGUUGUAAAGCUCUUUUGUCAGGGAAGAAACGGUGAAAGCUAAUAUCUUUUGCUAAUGACGGUACCUGAAGAAUAAGCACCGGCUAACUACGUGCCAGCAGCCGCGGUAAUACGUAGGGUGCAAGCGUUAAUCGGAAUUACUGGGCGUAAAGCGUGCGCAGGCGGUUUUGUAAGUCUGAUGUGAAAUCCCCGGGCUCAACCUGGGAAUUGCAUUGGAGACUGCAAGGCUAGAAUCUGGCAGAGGGGGGUAGAAUUCCACGUGUAGCAGUGAAAUGCGUAGAUAUGUGGAGGAACACCGAUGGCGAAGGCAGCCCCCUGGGUCAAGAUUGACGCUCAUGCACGAAAGCGUGGGGAGCAAACAGGAUUAGAAACCCCGGUAGUCCCA
RNAcentral lists this ribosomal RNA (475 nucleotides) under uncultured organism. RNAcentral's name for it is "partial 16S ribosomal RNA". It matches the Rfam family "Bacterial small subunit ribosomal RNA", at positions 331 to 797 of the family's 1533-position model. The record is from RNAcentral.